AUUGAACGCUGGCGGCAGGCCUAUCACAUGCAAGUCGAGCGGAUGAAGGGAGCUUGCUCCUGGAUUCAGCGGCGGACGGGUGAGUAAUGCCUAGGAAUCUGCCUGGUAGUGGGGGAUAACGUCCGGAAACGGGCGCUAAUACCGCAUACGUCCUGAGGGAGAAAGUGGGGGAUCUUCGGACCUCACGCUAUCAGAUGAGCCUAGGUCGGAUUAGCUAGUUGGUGGGGUAAAGGCCUACCAAGGCGACGACCCGUAACUGGUCUGAGAGGAUGAUCAGUCACACUGGAACUGAGACACGGUCCAGACUCCUACGGGAGGCAGCAGUGGGGAAUAUUGGAUAAUGGGCGAAAGCCUGAUCCAGCCAUGCCGCGUGUGUGAAGAAGGUCUUCGGAUUGUAAAGCACUUUAAGUUGGGAGGAAGGGCAGUAAGUUAAUACCUUGCUGUUUUGACGUUACCAACAGAAUAAGCACCGGCUAACUUCGUG
RNAcentral lists this ribosomal RNA (484 nucleotides) under uncultured bacterium. RNAcentral describes it as "partial 16S ribosomal RNA". It matches the Rfam family "Bacterial small subunit ribosomal RNA", at positions 30 to 507 of the family's 1533-position model. The record is from RNAcentral.